Molecule: ribosomal RNA, 440 nt
Filed under: uncultured bacterium
Lineage: Bacteria
Description: partial 16S ribosomal RNA
Rfam family: Bacterial small subunit ribosomal RNA
Source: RNAcentral
CCUACGGGUGGCAGCAGUGGGGGAUAUUGCACAAUGGGGGAAACCCUGAUGCAGCAACGCCGCGUGAGUGAAGAAGGAAUUCGGUUUGUAAAGCUCUAUCAGCAGGGAAGAAAAUGACGGUAGCAGAGUAAGAAGCCCCGGCUAACUACGUGCCAGCAGCCGCGGUAAUACGUAGGGGGCAAGCGUUGUCCGGAUUUACUGGGUGUAAAGGGAGCGUAGACGGCUGUGCAAGUCAGGAGUGAAAGCCGGGGGCUCAACCCACGGACUGCUCUUGAAACUGUACGGCUGGAGUGCAGUAGAGGGAAGUGGAAUUCCUGGUGUAGCGGUGAAAUGCGUAGAGAUCAGGAGGAACACCAGUGGCGAAGGCGGCUUACUGGACUGUAACUGACGCUGAGGCACGAAAGCGUGGGGAGCAAACAGGAUUAGAUACCCGGGUAGUC